GCCUACGGGGCGCAGCAGUGGGGGAUAUUGCACAAUGGGGGAAACCCUGAUGCAGCGACGCCGCGUGAGUGAAGAAGUAUUUCGGUAUGUAAAGCUCUAUCAGCAGGGAAGAAAAUGACAGUACCUGACCAAGAAGCCCCGGCUAACUACGUGCCAGCAGCCGCGGUAAUACGUAGGGGGCAAGCGUUAUCCGGAUUUACUGGGUGUAAAGGGAGCGCAGACGGCUGUGCAAGUCUGGAGUGAAAGGCGGGGGCCCAACCCCCGGACUGCUCUGGAAACUGUAAAGCUGGAGUGCAGGAGAGGUA
Molecule: ribosomal RNA, 305 nt
Filed under: uncultured bacterium
Lineage: Bacteria
Description: bacterial SSU rRNA
Rfam family: Bacterial small subunit ribosomal RNA
Source: RNAcentral